This 857-nucleotide ribosomal RNA is filed under the name uncultured bacterium. RNAcentral describes it as "SSU rRNA". It matches the Rfam family "Bacterial small subunit ribosomal RNA", at positions 524 to 1381 of the family's 1533-position model. The record is from RNAcentral.
UACGUAGGUGGCAAGCGUCGUCCGGAAUUACUGGGCGUAAAGGGCGAGUAGGCGGUUCUGCAAGUCAGAUGUGAAAGGCGUGGGCUCAACCUACGCAUUGCAUUUGAAACUGCAGGACUUGAGUGCGGUAGAGGAAAGUGGAAUUCCCAGUGUAGCGGUGAAAUGCGUAGAUAUUGGGAGGAACACCAGUGGCGAAGGCGACUUUCUGGGCCGUAACUGACGCUGAGGCGCGAAAGCGUGGGGAGCAAACAGGAUUAGAUACCCUGGUAGUCCACGCCGUAAACGAUGGAUGCUAGGUGUGGGAGGUAUCGACCCCUUCCGUGCCGGAGUUAACGCAAUAAGCAUCCCGCCUGGGGAGUACGACCGCAAGGUUGAAACUCAAAGGAAUUGACGGGGGCCCGCACAAGCAGCGGAGCGUGUGGUUUAAUUCGAAGCAACGCGAAGAACCUUACCAAGGCUUGACAUCCUUCGCUACCCCAUGAAAGUGGGGAUUCCCUUCGGGGACGAGGAGACAGGUGGUGCACGGUUGUCGUCAGCUCGUGUCGUGAGAUGUUGGGUUAAGUCCCGCAACGAGCGCAACCCUUGUACUUAGUUGCCAGCAUUAAGUUGGGCACUCUAAGUAGACUGCCGGUGACAAACCGGAGGAAGGUGGGGAUGACGUCAAAUCAUCAUGCCCCUUAUGUCUUGGGCUACACACGCGCUACAAUGGUCUGUACAAAGGGAAGCGAAGUCGCGAGGCAGAGCGGAUCCCAUAAAACAGAUCUCAGUUCAGAUUGCAGGCUGCAACUCGCCUGCAUGAAGUCGGAGUUGCUAGUAAUCGCGGAUCAGAACGCCGCGGUGAAUGCGUUCCCGGGUCU